Molecule: long non-coding RNA, 211 nt
Organism: Lontra canadensis (Northern American river otter)
Lineage: Eukaryota; Metazoa; Chordata; Mammalia; Carnivora; Mustelidae
Exons: 2
Source: RefSeq, a predicted model, not a curated record
CGUUGUUCUACGCCUGUGGCGUGUCCCGGCAGCCUGGCGGCUCUAAAAUACUCAGAGAAAAUCGCGUCUUCCCUCCCGGGCGCUGAAAAUGUGGCAACACGGUGUGUCUGAGCAAUGCAAGGGAAUGUGAACGACUUUCAGAGAGAAUGGUUGUGAAUACAUUUGGUGUGUACUAAAACCUGGAAACCCCUAGAUAAAUGCAGUAUCGAUA